AAGGCAGCCUUUUUCCCCCUGAGCACAACUCUAAUUAACAGCGGUGGAUGUAGAGAGGCCAGGCAAUGUGGAGCUACUAAGAGGGCCUGGGGCACUGGGCAGACUCACUGUCACCUCGGCUUAAGUGCUGGGUCUUGGGCAGCCAUCUCCUCUCAUCAGAUGCUUUCAGGAAAUGGAUGGCCCUUCUGAGUACAUAAACUCCACAAGAUAUCCUCCCCUGCCACUGACUGUGAGUUACCCAUGAGGCUGUGGGGCUACUUUGGGCCGCCCAUUGUGAUCAGGCCUGUGUGCUGAGAUCAUGAGGGGAACCAGAC
Long non-coding RNA from Cyprinus carpio carpio, 314 nucleotides. NCBI's taxonomy places the organism in Eukaryota, Metazoa, Chordata, Actinopteri, Cypriniformes, Cyprinidae. The record is from Ensembl.